UACGAAGGGGGCUAGCGUUGCUCGGAAUCACUGGGCGUAAAGCGCACGUAGGCGGAUUGCUAAGUCAGGGGUGAAAUCCUGGAGCUCAACUCCAGAACUGCCUUUGAUACUGGCGAUCUCGAGUCCGGGGAGAGGUGAGUGGAACUGCGAGUGUAGAGGUGAAAUUCGUAGAUAUUCGCAAGAACACCAGUGGCGAAGGCGGACUCACUGGCCCGGUACUGACGCUGAGGUGCGAAAGCGUGGGGAGCAACAGGG
This 255-nucleotide ribosomal RNA is filed under the name uncultured bacterium. RNAcentral describes it as "partial 16S ribosomal RNA". It matches the Rfam family "Bacterial small subunit ribosomal RNA", at positions 524 to 776 of the family's 1533-position model. The record is from RNAcentral.